CGAAUGCUGACAUAAGUAACGAUAAAGCGGGUGAAAAGCCCGCUCGCCGGAAGACCAAGGGUUCCUGUCCAACGUUAAUCGGGGCAGGGUGAGUCGACCCCUAAGGCGAGGCCGAAAGGCGUAGUCGAUGGGAAACAGGUUAAUAUUCCUGUACUUGGUGUUACUGCGAAGGGGGGACGGAGAAGGCUAUGUUGGCCGGGCGACGGUUGUCCCGGUUUAAGCGUGUAGGCUGGUUUUCCAGGCAAAUCCGGAAAAUCAAGGCUGAGGCGUGAUGACGAGGCACUACGGUGCUGAAGCAACAAAUGCCCUGCUUCCAGGAAAAGCCUCUAAGCAUCAGGUAACAUCAAAUCGUACCCCAAACCGACACAGGUGGUCAGGUAGAGAAUACCAAGGCGCUUGAGAGAACUCGGGUGAAGGAACUAGGCAAAAUGGUGCCGUAACUUCGGGAGAAGGCACGCUGAUAUGUAGGUGAGGUCCCUCGCGGAUGGAGCUGAAAUCAGUCGAAGAUACCAGCUGGCUGCAACUGUUUAUUAAAAACACAGCACUGUGCAAACACGAAAGUGGACGUAUACGGUGUGACGCCUGCCCGGUGCCGGAAGGUUAAUUGAUGGGGUUAGCGGUAACGCGAAGCUCUUGAUCGAAGCCCCGGUAAACGGCGGCCGUAACUAUAACGGUCCUAAGGUAGCGAAAUUCCUUGUCGGGUAAGUUCCGACCUGCACGAAUGGCGUAAUGAUGGCCAGGCUGUCUCCACCCGAGACUCAGUGAAAUUGAACUCGCUGUGAAGAUGCAGUGUACCCGCGGCAAGACGGAAAGACCCCGUGAACCUUUACUAUAGCUUGACACUGAACAUUGAGCCUUGAUGUGUAGGAUAGGUGGGAGGCUUUGAAGUGUGGACGCCAGUCUGCAUGGAGCCGACCUUGAAAUACCACCCUUUAAUGUUUGAUGUUCUAACGUUGACCCGUAAUCCGGGUUGCGGACAGUGUCUGGUGGGUAGUUUGACUGGGGCGGUCUCCUCCUAAAGAGUAACGGAGGAGCACGAAGGUUGGCUAAUCCUGGUCGGACAUCAGGAGGUUAGUGCAAUGGCAUAAGCCAGCUUGACUGCGAGCGUGACGGCGCGAGCAGGUGCGAAAGCAGGUCAUAGUGAUCCGGUGGUUCUGAAUGGAAGGGCCAUCGCUCAACGGAUAAAAGGUACUCCGGGGAUAACAGGCUGAUACCGCCCAAGAGUUCAUAUCGACGGCGGUGUUUGGCACCUCGAUGUCGGCUCAUCACAUCCUGGGGCUGAAGUAGGUCCCAAGGGUAUGGCUGUUCGCCAUUUAAAGUGGUACGCGAGCUGGGUUUAGAACGUCGUGAGACAGUUCGGUCCCUAUCUGCCGUGGGCGCUGGAGAACUGAGGGGGGCUGCUCCUAGUACGAGAGGACCGGAGUGGACGCAUCACUGGUGUUCGGGUUGUCAUGCCAAUGGCACUGCCCGGUAGCUAAAUGCGGAAGAGAUAAGUGCUGAAAGCAUCUAAGCACGAAACUUGCCCCGAGAUGAGUUCUCCCUGACUCCUUGAGAGUCCUGAAGGAACGUUGAAGACGACGACGUUGAUAGGCCGGGUGUGUAAGCGCAGCGAUGCGUUGAGCUAACCGGUA
This 1631-nucleotide ribosomal RNA is filed under the name Escherichia coli. RNAcentral describes it as "partial 23S ribosomal RNA". It matches the Rfam family "Bacterial large subunit ribosomal RNA", at positions 1291 to 2900 of the family's 2925-position model. Lineage: Bacteria; Pseudomonadati; Pseudomonadota; Gammaproteobacteria; Enterobacterales; Enterobacteriaceae. The record is from RNAcentral.